This 433-nucleotide ribosomal RNA is filed under the name uncultured bacterium. RNAcentral describes it as "partial 16S ribosomal RNA". It matches the Rfam family "Bacterial small subunit ribosomal RNA", at positions 29 to 507 of the family's 1533-position model. The record is from RNAcentral.
AACGAACGCUGGCGGCAUGCCUAACACAUGCAAGUCGAACGAGACCUUCGUGUCUAGUUGCGCACGGGUGCGUAACGCGUGGGAAGCGGCCCUUAGGUUCGGAAUAAUUCCCUUUAGGGGGUGCUAAUACCGGAUAAUUUCUUCUGACCAAAGAUUUAUCGCCUUUGGGUGGGCGCGAGUUGGUUUAGCUAGUUGGUAGUGUAAAAGCCUACCACGGCGACGCUCGAUAGCUGGGAUGAGAGGAUGAGCCGCCACACUGGGACUGAGGCACGGCCGAGAAUCGUACGCGAGGGAGGAGAGGGGAAUAUAGGCAAAUGGGGGAAGGCCUGAUCGAGCACUGCUGCGUGAGUCAUGAUGGCGUUAGGGUUGUACAGCUCUUUUACACGGGAUGAUAAUGACGGUACCGGGAGAAUAAGCUCCGGCUAACUUCGUG